Non-coding RNA from Varroa destructor (honeybee mite), 4280 nucleotides. The record is from RefSeq and is a predicted model, not a curated record. Lineage: Eukaryota; Metazoa; Arthropoda; Arachnida; Mesostigmata; Varroidae.
CUAGACAGUCAACCAACUAUACUUUCACAUAUCGAGGAUGUAGAACGAAGCGGCGGAGUAUAUUAUGGCGCGAACGAACAUCACGCGAUAUUCGCCCAUCUCCUUUCGGGUUGAACCGCUACUGCCGUUGCUGGGUUUGGAUAGUUCCGGAGGUGUCUGUUACACAGCGGACCUAAUCAAGCUCCCACAAACGGUCAGAUAUUAGCCAAAGUGAGGAGAAGCCUCAGUUACUCCCGCCGGGAACCUGUCAGGUGAAGAAAUACACAGCAGAUGAAGGUCGAGGUGGCCUUGUUGUUGACUGGUGCCUGAGUUCGUCGGAGAUAGUACAGAUUUGUGUAGAAGACGGCUAACUGCAGCCUGUUUCGCGGUUACUUCCUCGUUAACCCCUAGCCGAUGUUCAUCAACCACCUCGAAUGACACUUAUCAAGAAAACGACAUCCAUUGAUCGCUGCUGUUAGUCACUCAUCCUCAUUCAGCUACGAUAGCUGUACCCUGUUUGCCCAGCUAAGUUGAAGGAAAUGCCUUCCUACCCAGCGGGUACGCCCGACAGAAUUCCCCACUGGGUGCGACUUCUUGACCAUGUGCUAGCAUUGACAAUUGCCUGUCCGUUGGUGUCUCUUCUCUGGUGCGGAGGCUUUUUCCUGACCGAUACGUACAUCUACCCCAAUGAUAAGCCGUUCGGCUACUGGUUGAUCUUCAUCGUUGGAUCGAUGCUGUCCCUUAAUGUGCACAUUCAUUGCGAUUCGUUAAUUGCUAUAUCUGCCAGGUGUCCUGAUUCCGCGCAGCUCUUGCAAAGGCUCAUAGGAAUCGUCCUUAUCGUGACUAUCGUCUUUCAAUGGGAUGGGCUCUGGUGCCUCCUCGAUUACUACUUAGGUCAUACGCAGAUAUCAUGCUUUUACUGCUGGGCACUGGGGACUGUGGUGCUUUGUUUGACGGGAUGCCGCAACAAUAUGGUUACAGGGGUGCCAUUUAUGUGUCGUCAUGAUCGAGCUGAACUGCUCUUCGCAGCUACUACCCGCUUCCAUGCAAAAUCAUACGGCAGCCGUCUCUGGUCGUUCUGCGAUCAGCUCUUCUCCAUUUUUGUGGUUCAACCAUCUGUGAUUUUGAUUUGGCGUGGCCUUUGGAACAUCCAGGACUACACGUUACUUCCAAAAGAUCCUGUCAAAUCUGCCAAUAUUUCCUGCCUCGCAGGCACUCUGGUGACUAUUGUUUUGUACCUUCUCCAAGAUUCUGUAGCAGAAAUUACGCUUGCAUUGAGACCCUGUGCGCGAUUCGGUGUCGAGCUGGUGUGGCAGCAGUUAGCUGUGGCCUCGUCGGUAACUCUAUGGAGAGGGCAAUGGGUGUGGUUCGCGUUAAUCUUCGAAGAAUUGGCCUCGAUGUGGUUUGUGACGCUAGCCGCUGAGACUGAGUACAUCGCCGCUGUCGAAGCCAUUGUUGAAGACGAACCGCGGGACAGCGAAGGCCCUCUAUCCGCUUCUCGACGAAAUUCAACUUCCAUUGCCAGAUUCUUUGCCAAGUUGAAUUGGAAAGAGUGUUUCCUUUGUGCUGGGCAACCAGAGCCUAGUGCGAUGACCAAGCUAAAGGAAAGCACAGAUUGGCCGCGUCCUGAGCAGCUCAGACAUCGGAAGGCCAAAUUUGAAAGUAAUGAUUUAAUAAACGCCGUCAAUUUUUAAAAGAGCUCGUGUAUAGCGGUUGUACACUCAAAACUACCAGUUAAAUAUAAAUUAAUAUAGAUACGCAGAAAAUAAGCUAGUCAUUCAUCUGGCAUUGUAAACGAAAAAAAAAAGAACGAAAUCAAGAUAUUUCUAUAACUAUUGGUAUCUGCAAUAUUUGUUUGUAGCUUAGCGAGAAAUAGAACAAUAGGAAACCUGCAAAAAAUGUCACUCUCCAUAUAGCGUUGGUUAAACCAGCCAAUAACUUAGCUGAGUAUUGGUUAUGUCGGUAUUCGAACAAUGGACUAAUGUCAAAAAGCUGAUGAAAGGAGAACAAGACUAAAAGGUGAUCCUUUUAUCAUCAUUCUCUAUCACACAUUUGUUAUUAUAUCUAUAUAUUAUUACGUACUAUUUUAGUUAUUUGUCUCAACGGGGUACAGUUAUAAAGUCAGAGGGUCGUUUGACGCUAUCAAAGCGGGUGUCAGUGAGCGACAAGAAUCUCACAAAUACAAUUCGAGACGGAGCCAUGGUACAAGCCAGCUUCUGCGAGAAACAGUUACCUUUCUUGCCACCCUAGAAGAUCUCGAUGUGCCUCUGUCAACAACACAUUUCAGUCGUCACUGGCAAAAUGAAGCUCGUGAAAUAUCAAUGGAUCAUACCUGCAUUAGACUGUAAGCUUUUAGUUAGCCCAGGUUAAUACUACUCAUUCAUAAGUCGGGACGAGAAUGGGUCGCCGUGAAGGCAACGAGAAGCAAGCGUCUCUACACCUCAAUUUUUGAUCCUCCUUCAAAUCACAUGUCACCUAUUCGUCCGUUUUUUUAAUCUAAAUUACCCGAUUGAGAUAAGCAAAUAUAGUUGGUAUAUUUACUAAUUCACAUCUUCAAUUCCAACACUAAUCUACGUUGAAAUGGGUCGGCCUUUAUCGAAGCUCGCAAUUCAACUCCAGGGGGGAGUAUGCCAUGAGGUUUAAAAAUAUUCUGGAUCCUUUUUAACCAAGUGUUUACGAUGUCUUUGAUUAUAGAAUUCUCACCGACUACAAGGUUUACUCGGCGAUCUUUUCCGCCGCUAUAACUCCAAGAUGGAGGUCAUAUUCGUGUUCGAAUUUUUUUCAUCCUCCAUGGUUUAUGGAUCCGUAACCGUUUUCGUUCUAGGAGACCUUCAGCAGCGUCAAUAGAAAUUAUUUUGGCCAAGAGAAUUAAUUUUCGUAGUAUUAUUACGGUUACUAAAGAGUACCUUAAAAGAGCGUUUCCGAGAAAAAAAAGGGGUUAAAUAUGGACCCCUGCACUUGUAAGAGAACAAACAGGUCGUCUGAAAAACGGUUUUUCACACUGGGAUCUUUCCAUACAAAUAGGCCCAUAUCUGCUGAACCAAAGUGCCUGAUAUUAAAAAAUCAUCAACGAGUAUUAAUGUGAUAUAUAAAUAUUGAAUUUCGUAAAUUCCAUAAAAAGCUGAGAAUAUGUGGCUUACAUUUUAUCAGAGACCAACUAUUUUAAAAAUGUAAAACAAUUUUAGGCUAUUUAACCAAAUAAAAACAGUCUCCGAUUUUCUUCAAAUGUAGAUCUUCAUUAGUAACUAGAUGAUUAAAAAGAGGCUGCAUUUUUAAUCUAAUUGUAACCGUCGUUGUCAUUGUGCUGCAGUUGUUACGAGCUUAUCUUGUACUGUUUCGUAUAAGAAUACAUUUUAAAGAAGAUGUUAACCGUCAGAUUUGGAGUCGUUUGAUCAGUGCAACCCAGCAGAGUUAAUGACCUCGAAGCUCAUUCUGCCCGCCCUAUGGACGUUUUGCCGACCUUCGACUCCCUUUCACCAGGUGCUUCAUCAUACAACGCAGUAAUAUGCUACUGUUAGAAGAUCAGAACCAUGGGAAUAUAUAUUGCGGACGGUUACUGGCUUACCCACCAAUCUGAACAUCAUAAAAGUAACACUGCUUCAGGAAUACAAAUGCAGGCCAACCAGGAUCAGACGAUAGGCAAGGCUUGCCCUUGAUUCAGCUUAUUCUAACCCGAACGAAUCUGUACGGAGUGUGCUGUUGGAGAAGUGUGGGACCGUCCAUUUAGCUAGGUGAUGUGGACUUACAAAGAAACAAGGUUAUCAAAAUGUAUGCUCUUAAAUUAUUUCAACAGUAAGAGGUUUUAAGUUUUCGACCUAGGUAAUGGUGGUCAAUUGACUGAUGAAUACUCAUUGACCAUGGCAGUCAUUGGCGAGCAUCAGUGGUUCACACUAUGGCCUAGUCCCUGCUUUUAUACUUAUGCUACUAUAUUGUAGUUUUUAAUGCAUUCUUAUUAUUUAAACUAUUCUAUAUAUACAUAUAGUAGCCUGCAGUUGCGCCUAUCGCCUUUUUCGGGAAAAGGAUAGUAUAAGGACAAGGAGAAAGUUAGCAUAAAUAUGCAGCCAUCUAACUGCUAUUAAAAGUAAAAUUUCUCCUAUUUGUAAAAUGUUGAAACAGUAAAUCCUCGCAUCGAUAACAGAUUCAAUAUGUCUCGGAAUACAAAUAGCAAUUAAGUUUUAAAAAUAAUCGUAAGAAAGAAUAAAAACAUAUUAUUAUUAUUAUUAUUAUAGAAACAAUGCUAAGCAAGAUAGAAAUGCAAUAAAGGAAAUAAUAAAAUAGCAACUAUUUGUUUUGACACCUUA